GUAAUACGCUGGGGGCUGCCUAGUACAUGCAUGUCGAGCGAACAGAUGAAGUGCUUGCACUUCUGACGUUAGCGGCGAACGGGUGAGUAACACGUAAGGAAUCUACCUAUAAGCGGGGGAUAACAUUCGGAAACGGGUGCUAAUACCGCAUAAUAUCUUCUUCCGCAUGGAAGAAGAUUGAAAGACGGCUCUGCUGUCACUUAUAGAUGACCUUGCGGUGCAUUAGUUAGUUGGUGGGGUAACGGCCUACCAAGACGAUGAUGCAUAGCCGACCUGAGAGGGUGAUCGGCCACAUUGGGACUGAGACACGGCCCAAACUCCUACGGGAGGCAGCAGUAGGGAAUCUUCCGCAAUGGGCGAAAGCCUGACGGAGCAAUGCCGCGUGAGUGAAGAAGGCCUUCGGGUCGUAAAACUCUGUUAUAAGAGAAGAACAAAUUGUAGAGUAACUGCUACAGUCUUGACGGUAUCUUAUCAAAAGCCACGGCUAACUACGUGCCAGCAGCCGCGGUAAUACGUAGGUGGCAAGCGUUGUCCGGAUUUAUUGGGCGUAAAGGGAGAGCAGGUGGUUUCUUAAGUCUGAUGUGAAAGCCCACGGUUAACCGUGGAGGGUCAUUGGAAACUGGGAAACUUGAGUACAGAAAAGAAUGUGGA
Molecule: ribosomal RNA, 651 nt
Filed under: Aerococcus sp. HPC 569
Lineage: Bacteria; Bacillati; Bacillota; Bacilli; Lactobacillales; Aerococcaceae
Description: bacterial SSU rRNA
Rfam family: Bacterial small subunit ribosomal RNA
Source: RNAcentral